GGGUUGUGAGGUUAAGCGACUAAGCGUACACGGUGGAUGCCCUGGCAGUCAGAGGCGAUGAAGGACGUGCUAAUCUGCGAAAAGCGUCGGUAAGGUGAUAUGAACCGUUAUAACCGGCGAUGUCCGAAUGGGGAAACCCAGUGUGAUUCGUCACACUAUCGUUAACUGAAUACAUAGGUUAACGAGGCGAACCGGGGGAACUGAAACAUCUAAGUACCCCGAGGAAAAGAAAUCAACCGAGAUUCCCCCAGUAGCGGCGAGCGAACGGGGAGCAGCCCAGAGUCUGAAUCAGCUUGUGUGUUAGUGGAACGGUCUGGAAAGUCCGACGGUACAGGGUGAUAGUCCCGUACACCAAAAUGCACAGGUUGUGAACUCGAAGAGUAGGGCGGGACACGUGGUAUCCUGUCUGAAUAUGGGGGGACCAUCCUCCAAGGCUAAAUACUCCUGACUGACCGAUAGUGAACCAGUACCGUGAGGGAAAGGCGAAAAGAACCCCGGCGAGGGGAGUGAAAAAGAACCUGAAACCGUGUACGUACAAGCAGUGGGAGCACCUUCGGGUGUGACUGCGUACCUUUUGUAUAAUGGGUCAGCGACUUAUAUUCUGUAGCAAGGUUAACCGUAUAGGGGAGCCGCAGGGAAACCGAGUCUUAACUGGGCGUUAAGUUGCAGGGUAUAGACCCGAAACCCGGUGAUCUAGCCAUGGGCAGGUUGAAGGUUGGGUAACACUAACUGGAGGACCGAACCGACUAAUGUUGAAAAAUUAGCGGAUGACUUGUGGCUGGGGGUGAAAGGCCAAUCAAACCGGGAGAUAGCUGGUUCUCCCCGAAAGCUAUUUAGGUAGCGCCUCGUGAACUCAUCUUCGGGGGUAGAGCACUGUUUCGGCUAGGGGGUCAUCCCGACUUACCAACCCGAUGCAAACUACGAAUACCGAAGAAUGUUAUCACGGGAGACACACGGCGGGUGCUAACGUCCGUCGUGAAGAGGGAAACAACCCAGACCGCCAGCUAAGGUCCCAAAGUCAUGGUUAAGUGGGAAACGAUGUGGGAAGGCACAGACAGCCAGGAUGUUGGCUUAGAAGCAGCCAUCAUUUAAAGAAAGCGUAAUAGCUCACUGGUCGAGUCGGCCUGCGCGGAAGAUGUAACGGGGCUAAACCAUGCACCGAAGCUGCGGCAGCGACACUAUGUGUUGUUGGGUAGGGGAGCGUUCUGUAAGCCUGCGAAGGUGACCUGUGAGGGUUGCUGGAGGUAUCAGAAGUGCGAAUGCUGACAUAAGUAACGAUAAAGCGGGUGAAAAGCCCGCUCGCCGGAAGACCAAGGGUUCCUGUCCAACGUUAAUCGGGGCAGGGUGAGUCGACCCCUAAGGCGAGGCCGAAAGGCGUAGUCGAUGGGAAACAGGUUAAUAUUCCUGUACUUGGUGUUACUGCGAAGGGGGGACGGAGAAGGCUAUGUUAGCCGGGCGACGGUUGUCCCGGUUUAAGCAUGUAGGCUGAUUGUCCAGGCAAAUCCGGAUAAUCAAGGCUGAGGUGUGAUGACGAGGCACUACGGUGCUGAAGUAACAAAUGCCCUGCUUCCAGGAAAAGCCUCUAAGCAUCAGGUAACAUCAAAUCGUACCCCAAACCGACACAGGUGGUCAGGUAGAGAAUACCAAGGCGCUUGAGAGAACUCGGGUGAAGGAACUAGGCAAAAUGGUGCCGUAACUUCGGGAGAAGGCACGCUGGUGUGUAGGUGAAGUCCCUGCGGAUGGAGCUGAGACCAGUCGAAGAUACCAGCUGGCUGCAACUGUUUAUUAAAAACACAGCACUGUGCAAACACGAAAGUGGACGUAUACGGUGUGACGCCUGCCCGGUGCCGGAAGGUUAAUUGAUGGGGUUAUCCGUAAGGAGAAGCUCUUGAUCGAAGCCCCGGUAAACGGCGGCCGUAACUAUAACGGUCCUAAGGUAGCGAAAUUCCUUGUCGGGUAAGUUCCGACCUGCACGAAUGGCGUAAUGAUGGCCAGGCUGUCUCCACCCGAGACUCAGUGAAAUUGAACUCGCUGUGAAGAUGCAGUGUACCCGCGGCAAGACGGAAAGACCCCGUGAACCUUUACUAUAGCUUGACACUGAACAUUGAGCCUUGAUGUGUAGGAUAGGUGGGAGGCUUUGAAGCGUGGACGCCAGUCUGCGUGGAGCCAACCUUGAAAUACCACCCUUUAAUGUUUGAUGUUCUAACGUUGGCCCCUUACCGGGGUUGCGGACAGUGUCUGGUGGGUAGUUUGACUGGGGCGGUCUCCUCCCAAAGCGUAACGGAGGAGCACGAAGGUUAGCUAAUCCUGGUCGGACAUCAGGAGGUUAGUGCAAUGGCAUAAGCUAGCUUGACUGCGAGCGUGACGGCGCGAGCAGGUGCGAAAGCAGGUCAUAGUGAUCCGGUGGUUCUGAAUGGAAGGGCCAUCGCUCAACGGAUAAAAGGUACUCCGGGGAUAACAGGCUGAUACCGCCCAAGAGUUCAUAUCGACGGCGGUGUUUGGCACCUCGAUGUCGGCUCAUCACAUCCUGGGGCUGAAGUAGGUCCCAAGGGUAUGGCUGUUCGCCAUUUAAAGUGGUACGCGAGCUGGGUUUAGAACGUCGUGAGACAGUUCGGUCCCUAUCUGCCGUGGGCGCUGGAGAAUUGAGGGGGGCUGCUCCUAGUACGAGAGGACCGGAGUGGACGCAUCACUGGUGUUCGGGUUGUCAUGCCAAUGGCACUGCCCGGUAGCUAAAUGCGGAAGAGAUAAGUGCUGAAAGCAUCUAAGCACGAAACUUGCCCCGAGAUGAGUUCUCCCUGAGACUUUAAGUCUCCUGAAGGAACGUUGAAGACGACGACGUUGAUAGGCCGGGUGUGUAAGCGCAGCGAUGCGUUGAGCUAACCGGUACUAAUGAACCGUGAGGCUUAACCUUACAACGCCGAAG
RNAcentral lists this ribosomal RNA (2923 nucleotides) under Klebsiella pneumoniae. Its description in RNAcentral is "bacterial LSU rRNA". It matches the Rfam family "Bacterial large subunit ribosomal RNA". Lineage: Bacteria; Pseudomonadati; Pseudomonadota; Gammaproteobacteria; Enterobacterales; Enterobacteriaceae. RNAcentral also lists the same sequence under 2 other names. The record is from RNAcentral.